Molecule: non-coding RNA, 725 nt
Organism: Saimiri boliviensis boliviensis (Bolivian squirrel monkey)
Lineage: Eukaryota; Metazoa; Chordata; Mammalia; Primates; Cebidae
Source: RefSeq, a predicted model, not a curated record
UUGGGGACCACGAACUGUCUCUUGCUUCAACAGUGUUUGGACGGAACAGAUCCCGGGGACUCUUUCUUCCAGCCUCUGAUCACCCUCUGAUUUCCUCUCCACUUGCAACCUCCAGGACCGUUUUCUCGGCCAUCUCCUGCUUCUAGGACCUGCCAACACCGUUUUUGUGGUUAGCUCCUUCUUGCCGACCAUGAGCUCCCAGAUUCGUCAGAAUUAUUCCACCGAUGUGGAGGCAGCCAUCACCCGCCUGGUCCAUGUGUACCUGCAGGCCUCCUCCACCUGCCUCUCUCUGGGCUUCCAUUUCCUCUACGAUGAUGUGUCUCUGGAAAGCGUGAGCCACUUCUUCCGCGAAUUGGCCGAGGAGAAGAGCGAAGCCUACAAGCGCCUCCUGAACAUGCAAAACCAGCGUGGAGGCCGCGCUGUCUUCCAGGACGUCAAGAAGCCCGCUUGAGAUGAAUGGGGUAAAACCCUGGGUGCCACAGAAGCUGCCACGGCCCUGGAGAAAAAUCUGAACCAGGCCCUUUUGGGUCUUCAUGCCCUGUGGUCUGCCCGCAUGGACCCCCAUCUCUGUGACUUCCUGGAGAGUCAGUUCCUAAAUGAGGAAGUGAAACUCAUCAACAAGGUGGGUGACCACCUGACCAACCUCUCCACAGGCUGGCCAGCCUAGAGGCGAGGCUGAGCUGGGUGAAUAUCUCUUGGAAAGGCUCACUGUCAGGCAUGACUAG